This 5061-nucleotide long non-coding RNA is filed under the name Homo sapiens (human). Its description in RNAcentral is "non-protein coding lnc-RTP4-7:2". Lineage: Eukaryota; Metazoa; Chordata; Mammalia; Primates; Hominidae. The record is from RNAcentral.
AAUUUGCUAUUCGGUGACAUAAGAGGGGGAGUGCGCUUUGCUUUCCCGGGGUCUGGGGCUAAUUCCUUCUUUCUUACCCAUAAACUCAGCAGAUCGAGCUAAAUGCACAAAAGGGAGCGAGAGGUUUGAACCACUGGGAAAAGUAUGUUAUAUAUAUAGUAGGGUUAGAGAGGCGAGUAAGAGAAAAAUAAAAUAAAAUAAACAUCACAGCUCUUUCCAACUAGAAUAUUAGGCACCACGAGAAAAAUAUUUGCCAAGCAGUUUUCGGUGGGUUCAUUUGCUUUAUUUUUAUUUAGGACAGGGGUUUUUGCUGUUGUUCUGGGUUUUUUUCUUUCUGGUGUGGUGGCUUGGGAUUUUUGGUUUCUGUAUUUUGAUGGUUUAUGGAUUUUUGCUUCUGAUUUUUUGCCUUUUGCAAGUUUGUGGUGUUACGUAAAUCACAGGAUCGGCAUCGGUUGGAUUUUUUUGUACGUGCCUUUUCUUUCCCUAUCUAAUCCCUCAAGCGUUUUAAAGAUGUAUUAUUUCAAUACUAAUACUAUUGAAAGAAGCUUAAAUUUUUGGCCAUAUGUAACAAUCCCAGCCCCCACUUUUUUUUUUUUUUUUUCCUUUGGUGCAAUUUUCUUUUUCCCCCUUGGACUUUUGCUGAAGUGUGUCUCUCCUGCACUUCAGAGAAAUGUUCAAAGGAUUUGUUUUGGUUUGGUUUGUUUCUUUCCAGGACAGCAAGUGGUGGGUUUAAUCUGUUAUUGUUGACUCUUGGGAAAUUUCUUGUUGCAAGAAACGUGUGUGUGGGGGGGAGGGUGGGGGUGGCGGGGUGGUAUGUGUGUGUUUUCUACAAAAUUCUGUGAGCCAAAUACCUGUUUGUGUUUUGUUUUCUCUUAAGGUCUUGAGAUUUUUGUUUUCGAGGCUCGUUUCAAGGUCGUUGUAAAAAAAUCUCUUCAGUCUGUGUUUAAGAGAUCAGCCGGAGGGAAUUCUAAAGGCCUGCCGUGCCAGUAUCACAGAUACUGCCUGUAUUUAGAACAGACUGCCACAACUACAAUGCACUACACGCAGCACAGUCUUCUUAGCUUUGAAGCUGAGUUGGGGGGUGGGGUGGGGGGGGGGUAGAGAAGAAGGAGAAAUUCUUUCCUUCUCUUUUUCUCUAUUACUUUCUUUUUAAAGGCAAUUGCAGUGCAGAAUCAUUUCAUUGUGGGUCCUAGUUUGUUUGUUCAGAGCUGCUAGUUUCCUUAUUUAAAUGUUGGUUCGGGUUUUUUCCCCUCCUACUCAUCCCUGAAUAAGGGAGACUCUUGUUUCUUUUAUGUCUCUCUCUUAAAAGAAGGGUGUGAGGGGAAAAUAAUAUUUCAGAUUCCUCAAGAAUUAGCCCAAAAUGUUUGGACCAGAAGCAGCUUUCAAAGGUCAGGCUGUUCUGAGCCUUGGCUAUGAGAGUCCUUCAAGCGACUUAUUAAAUUACAGAUGAAUUCUUAAAGCUUCCACAAAAUCUCGUCACUUGUUAAUUUCUAAUAAAGAUAUGUCUAAAAUAAUCUACCUAUCUCAACCCAAAAUUUGGGUUUAUAAUGGAGGAGUGAUCAGAGCUGUGAAAGAUUGCUGUUUGCUGGGAUAUUUGGAAAAUCUCUUUCAUUGACAGUCCCGUAAGAAGUUCCAUCUAUCACCGAAAAUGUUGUUGGCAAUGCACCCCCCUACCCCACAACACACACACAUUUUUAAAGGCUGUAUUUUAGGUUUUAAAACCCAGAAAGGUGCAAAGAGGUUGAUUAUUUUCCACAAGGGCUGGAGCUUAGGAAAUAUGCGUUAAAGUGUCUGUCCCUGUGAAAUCUGAAUAUUUUAAUACUUAUUGACAGAUGGAUUACUGCAGCCUCUGCAGAAAAGCCUGUCUUGUGAACGGUUUUUGAAAAAUAUACAUAGGCCUAAUCCUGUCACUGUUGUUGAAAUGUACGUUUUACCCCCAAAGACACAUGAUAUUGUCAAGUUCAGAUUUAUUCUGCCAGAAGGCAGACUAUCUGCUUUUUCAUUUGAGUCCCCUUCCUUCUCAUUUUCAAAGAAAUUAAAAUGAAUCCCGCUGGAUGCAAAAUGACACCCCGAUUUUGUGGAAGGGAUUUUCUUUGUGUGUUUAUAUGUGUAAUUUUUUCUUUUAUGAGCAAUUAGCACUUUAGGAUUUCUCAGACGUAUCUAUAUGGUUUGGAAUGUGAAUUGUAUGGCUCUGCCUUACUAUUGGGCCCUCAAAAGAUUAUUUUUAUGAUUUUUGGUCACUUUUUUCUUUGUCAAAACUGCCAUUCAGCCUCAUCCACCGCCCCCCUCAACCUGAAACACAGCUUGUCCCUCCUGUGUUCCCUUUGCCACUCCACUCUUAGCCCCAUGGGGGCGCUGCAGAGCAAAGGGAAAUCUGCUCUCUAAGGCAGUAGUAGAACCAGCCAGAGUGGGGGCUGGGAAGGAAUUCACCCUUCUCAUACCUCAGCCCUCUUUAAUUCUCUGCAGUGAGCCCCUAGAGGGAGAACCCACCAGGGCUGGUUCAUAUAUAAUUAACCUCAUCACCAGGGACCUCAAAUCUUCCCAGCAUAUUAUUUCUGGGACCAAGUGCCAGAGUGCCACAUUUUCCUACUGCUUUUUGCCAAAUCAAUGUGUUUACACUGAAAGAAAUUGACCAGAACAGAAGACCAGUUAGAAAGAAAGAGAAAAUCAUUAUUGAAAAUUUUCUAAAGAUAGGCACUUACUUUUCGGUGAGUCUCUUUUACUUUGAACUGAAUGAAUGGUGAGGAAAAUUGUGCACCCGCCUCUCAAUCUCUUUUCAAUUCCUAGGAAAGUAACUUUGUCAAAUAUUAUACCAGUUGAAUUUCUUCCAGAAUGUCAUUUCUUCUUUCAUUCUUGACCUCUCCUCAGUAUCCAGUUGGCAUCACUAUGUGGGCCUCCCUCACUCCCGCAGUGCCGUGUUACAGGAUUAAAGAAAGGGCUGACUUGAACGUAUUCUGAUUCUUUUAAAUCAUCCUUAAGAAGCUCUAAAGAGUGAUUCCAUGUCUGGGGUCGUAUGAAUAAUUCCUGCAGACUUCGGGGCACUACAUUUCAACUAGUCCCAUGAUUUAAUGGUUACUGGCUGCUAAUACUCAGUAGAGGACCAGGCCAACCUCUUUGCCUCAUGGACUGGGCAUAAGAAUAGGUCCCUGAUCAUUGCUGCUGGGUAAAUAUAAGCUUUAUUACAAAAUAAAAUAGCCUGGUCCUAAUAUUACAUCUAUUUGAGGAAAAGAACAGACUUCACAUCCAAUUCCCCCUUGCAAAACCUUCCCCACAAUUCAGUCAUAGCUGAAAAAGAACCUAUCCUUGGAAUAAACACGGUUCUGUCCUCUUUCUAAGGGGGCUCACAAGAGGAAGUUGGUUUCACCUGUCAGGAACCUCUGGCACCUUGGUAGGUCUUUAAGAUACCACAUCAUAGGACUAAAGAUUUUAAAACUGGGAAGACUUUUUCAAAUCAAUCACCUUCUCUAGGCUUUCUUCUUUCAGGAUUAUAGGCUGGGUCUUCACUAGGAGCAUGUGUGACCCCAGGAACACAACUGAAAAUGGGUCUGCAUGAUUUGCUGGCCCUCUGUCAUUUUAGAGGAUCAGUGUAAUCUGACAACUUGAGUCUGUAGGUGUAUAUCUUGUGUCCUUGUAGAACUGAGGGAAGCAAGGCUGCCAUGGUCUCUUUGUAAACUGCAAAACUCAGAGCGAACUCCAAGUCAUGAUGAGUUUUGAUGGUCAUUUGGGUUUAUUUAUGCCUCUCAGCUACAUUGAAGUACUUGGCACUGCUUUUGAUAGAUUUGGGAGACACUAUCUAUCAGACUUGUUAAAUUUUACCUGUUCGUUUUAUUUCAAAUCCUUCAUUUAGAACUGUUGUAAACAAGCUUUUUGUAGUAUCCUUGGAGAAAGAAAGGCGUUUUUAACAUAGCAAGAUGAGCAGAAAGUUUUGAGACAUUAAAAAAGUGUAUAAUUUCCAGCUACUGCCUUCUGAAAAGGAAGUAUCAGUGUUUAAUUUUCAUCCAUAUGCUGCCUGCUUUUAGCCUUUAUUGUUCUGAGAUUUUUUUUUCCUUUAGAAACCUUUUCAGCCUGGCUCAGAGUUUACCCCCAAACACUAAUUUUCCACACUUUUCUCACUUAUUUAAAAUGGGAAUAAAUAUCAGAAGCUUAAAAUAGAGAAGUGAUGGGGGUUAGGGGGUGUGUAAUGAUUUGUUUAUUGCGUUCGAUCGCUGUUUUGAAUAGCAGAGUUUUCACUUCCUAUGAAACCUUAGCAUGAAGGAAAGCAGCAGCUGGACUCUGAGAGGGAUGAGGGAAGGAAAGCACUUGAGUGUUUGUAAACUCAGGGUGGCUGGUCCACCCGCUGCCGUUGCCGGGCUGCUGGCUGCUGUACUUAGCUGUCUCUACUACCUAAGGCUAGAAGUGGAAAAACUUGAUUUGCGUGUUGUGCCUGCAUUUUUUUUUUCUUCUCCCCACCGCCCUCUUGUACACCUGACCAUGCAGAAGCCUAUCUGAAGCCAGCUCGAUGGCAGGGAGAGCUGGAGAGCGGAAGAAUGUGCGGAGGGAGGGAGGGCUCGGUACUUUUCCAUUCACAUCUCCACAGUGGCUUUUCUUGUUUAUUUCAACCUCCACCGGCAGAAACCUUUCAGCUGCCUGAAAUUCAAGUCAUUAUACUGUUACCUGAGGUCAGAAGACAGACACUUUGGUGCACGUUUCCUACAUGUCAGUGUCUGUGUAACUUAUGUACGUACAGAGACACAGACACACAAAUGUGACUCCACGGGGGCACAGUGUAGGGAGAAAAAAAAAAACACUGUAUUUGUUGCAAACACACACACACACACACACACACACACGCGCGCACACACACACAAACCCUUGGUUUCUAAUUACAGCUGUGCCUGAAACUCUUUAUGGGACAUUGAGCAAAGCCACUUGUGAGGACUCCGUUUCCUCAGCUGUGUGAAGGAAUAGCCCCGAUGAUUUGAGGGAUGCCGGUCUGCGCUUAGUUCUGUACCUUUACAUUUCAAAACAUAUUUACAGAACUGUGCGAGAGGAGUGGAAAGGAGCUGUGUGUAUAUGUGUACC